This 253-nucleotide ribosomal RNA is filed under the name uncultured bacterium. RNAcentral's name for it is "partial 16S ribosomal RNA". It matches the Rfam family "Bacterial small subunit ribosomal RNA", at positions 524 to 776 of the family's 1533-position model. The record is from RNAcentral.
UACGUAGGUGACCAGCGUUGUCCGGAUUUACUGGGCGUAAAGAGCGCGCAGGCGGUCGUUCAAGUCGAGUGUGAAAGCCCCCGGCUCAACUGGGGAGGGUCAUUCGAUACUGAUCGACUCGAAGGCAGGAGAGGGAAGCGGAAUUCCCGGUGUAGUGGUGAAAUGCGUAGAUAUCGGGAGGAACACCAGUGGCGAAGGCGGCUUCCUGGCCCGGUACUGACGCUGAGGUGCGAAAGCGUGGGGAGCAAACAGG